UUGACCUCGGAUCAGGUAGGAAUACCCGCUGAACUUAAGCAUAUCAAUAAGCCGGAGGAAUUAAGCAAUUACCAG
RNAcentral lists this ribosomal RNA (75 nucleotides) under Fusarium graminearum. RNAcentral describes it as "partial 28S ribosomal RNA". The record is from RNAcentral. Lineage: Eukaryota; Fungi; Ascomycota; Sordariomycetes; Hypocreales; Nectriaceae.